RNAcentral lists this transfer RNA (89 nucleotides) under Solirubrobacterales bacterium. RNAcentral's name for it is "tRNA-Ser". It matches the Rfam family "tRNA". From Rfam's summary of the family: Transfer RNA (tRNA) molecules are approximately 80 nucleotides in length. Their secondary structure includes four short double-helical elements and three loops (D, anti-codon, and T loops). The record is from RNAcentral. RNAcentral also lists the same sequence under 3 other names. Lineage: Bacteria; Bacillati; Actinomycetota; Thermoleophilia; Solirubrobacterales.
GGAGGGGUGCCGGAGUGGUUGAACGGGGCGGUCUCGAAAACCGUUGGCCGUCGUAAGGCGGCUCGUGGGUUCGAAUCCCACCCCCUCCG